GGCUCAGGAUGAACGCUAGCUACAGGCUUAACACAUGCAAGUCGAGGGGCAGCAUUUUAGUUGCUUGCAAACUAAAGAUGGCGACCGGCGCACGGGUGAGUAACACGUAUCCAACCUGCCGAUAACUCAGGGAUAGCCUUUCGAAAGAAAGAUUAAUACCUGAUGGCAUAGGAUUAUCGCAUGAUAAUCCUAUUAAAGAAUUUCGGUUAUCGAUGGGGAUGCGUUCCAUUAGGCAGUUGGUGAGGUAACGGCUCACCAAACCUUCGAUGGAUAGGGGUUCUGAGAGGAAGGUCCCCCACAUUGGAACUGAGACACGGUCCAAACUCCUACGGGAGGCAGCAGUGAGGAAUAUUGGUCAAUGGACGGGAGUCUGAACCAGCCAAGUAGCGUGAAGGAUGACUGCCCUAUGGGUUGUAAACUUCUUUUAUACGGGAAUAAAGUGGUCCACGUGUGGAUUUUUGUAUGUACCGUAUGAAUAAGGAUCGGCUAACUCCGUG
Molecule: ribosomal RNA, 497 nt
Filed under: uncultured bacterium
Lineage: Bacteria
Description: bacterial SSU rRNA
Rfam family: Bacterial small subunit ribosomal RNA
Source: RNAcentral